Molecule: long non-coding RNA, 1714 nt
Organism: Mauremys reevesii (Reeves's turtle)
Lineage: Eukaryota; Metazoa; Chordata; Testudines; Geoemydidae
Exons: 3
Source: RefSeq, a predicted model, not a curated record
CUUGCUCAAUUAAACCCCAAAUACCUGCAAUCAAUAAAUAAGGAAUGACAACGCGUUUAAGGGAUUUACCCAGCAAAGAAACUGAACUGGAAACAGAUUACACCCAAGAAACCCUUUUUAUAAUUAAACAUACACCUCUCACCAAUGGAAGAGGCAUGUAAAGGAGAAGCCUUGGAAAAUCAAGAUACACGUGUUUCUCUGGGAGACCUUUUCAACAACUAGAAUUAUAUUUGUAUUAUGACAGAGCCUAGAAGCAGCAGCAAUUCAGAGAUACCUGACCAAAUCUAUGGGAAGCCUGAAAUGAUAGGUCUGAGAGAGGUGUGGCCUGUUCUUACUCACGAUAUGAAAUGCUAACUCUGAAGCCCAAUGGUGCACUUUAUAUGUCAAGCUGUUAACCAUUUCAGUGCUCAUCAAAAUGCACAAAGCAAAAGAUAAUCAUAUUUGAAGGUCUAAACAAUCUAUGGGUUCUAGAAGCAGAAAUCCCAAAGCACAAUGCAGAAGGCUUGUUCUCAUUGUCUUUCCAGCCCCAUCCUGAAACCCAUCAUACUGGUAAUUUCAAGAAGAAACCUGUUUCGGCAAGUUGACUAGAUGAAUUUUACAGCCCAAAUGGGUCAUAUAAGCCUUGGAGAAGCAUCAAAACAUCUAUCAGAUGGAACUUGUGAGCUUAGUUGAAGUCUGCUGUUGUCACUACAUUGUACGUAUCACUUUGAACUUGAUUGAUCCUACCGAAUCCAACCACAGAUGAUCUGUUGCUGUUUCUCUUGAUAGUGGAGUUGUUUGACUGUCCAUGAGUCACAGGGAUAACAGCUAAUACUCAAAAGACUGUUCAGAUAGAAAAAGAUAUCUCAUGUUCUCAUCUGAAGUAUGUGUCUGGUUUUGGUGCCAUCACAGAGAGCAUGCCAGGUUAACAACUACACAAUGAAUGCAAGUUCUUAAUGAUGGCAACUUUACUGCUCACCCACCUAUGGAAGUGAAGUGGCAACCUUCUAAUAACUAGAACAUUUGCCUUUAUUUAUUUAAUUGGAGGUUCGGUGCACACAAGUACAUGUAGAGGUAAUCAGGUAGUUUAGGUGUCCUGGAAAUUAAUAACUGAUGUUGGUAAUUCUUUUUAAACAUGCAGCUGUAUAAGUGGAACAACACAGUUAUUUAACAGGAUGCUAAUAAUAGCUGUGUAGUGGCUUUGACAGCAUAUUUACUUACUGCACUUGGUGUGGACCUCAGCGGGAGUAGAGACUGCUGAGCUUAGAACUCAGAACCUCCUUAUUCCUCCAGACCAUGCUGCCAAGGUUUUUGUGUUUCAGAGCCUUUUCCAAAAUGAAACCACAUGCUGCUCCACGCUUCAUCGAACCACGCUCCAGUUGUGAGAAGGGUGGGUUUUCCCCACACAGUGGAAAUGGACACCUGAUCAGUCAUCAGUGCAAAGGCAAAAUACGUCAGCCCUUUGGCACAUUCAUCAUUAAGGGCCACUAAAGCCUGGAUAUACUGAAUGGAAUGAGGGAAAAAAAACAACAAAAAAAGAUGGCACCGCCGUAGUAUUUCAUUGUGGUGAAAUGCCAACAAAUAGCUGGCACUUAGAGCUCUAUUCUGCGAGGUGCUGAGUGUCCUCAAUUCCUAUUGGUUGAGGAUGUUCAGCACCUGGCAAGAGUGCACAGCACUCUCCAAGAAUAAUCAUUUAAUAACUAAUUAUGGUCCAAACGUCGUUGGAUCUUUGAAU